Molecule: ribosomal RNA, 310 nt
Filed under: uncultured bacterium
Lineage: Bacteria
Description: partial 16S ribosomal RNA
Rfam family: Bacterial small subunit ribosomal RNA
Source: RNAcentral
AAGAGACAGCAGCCGCCGCGGUAAUACGAAGGGUGCAAGCGUUACUCGGAAUUACUGGGCGUAAAGCGUGCGUAGGUGGUGGUUUAAGUCCGUUGUGAAAGCCCUGGGCUCAACCUGGGAAUUGCAGUGGAUACUGGGUCACUAGAGUGUGGUAGAGGAUAGUGGAAUUUCCGGUGUAGCAGUGAAAUGCGUAGAGAUCGGAAGGAACAUCUGUGGCGAAGGCGACUAUCUGGGCCAACACUGACACUGAGGCACGAAAGCGUGGGGAGCAAACAGGAUUAGAUACCCGAGUAGUCCCUGUCUCUUAUAC